Long non-coding RNA from Eucalyptus grandis, 196 nucleotides. RefSeq lists it as uncharacterized. The transcript is spliced from 3 exons. Lineage: Eukaryota; Viridiplantae; Streptophyta; Magnoliopsida; Myrtales; Myrtaceae. The record is from RefSeq and is a predicted model, not a curated record.
GGAAAAAUUAGUUGAAGUAGUUGUAAAGGACAGUCAACACUUGCAGCACUUAAUUGGUCUUUGUGAAGCCCAAAGGCAAAUUGGAGAAACUGCUCUAAAUGAUAAAAGCUCAAGAUCUCAUCAGAUAAUUAGGCUGACAAUUGAGAGCGCUCUCAGAGAAAACUCGGAGUGUGUGAAGUCAUUCAUUGCCAGUUUG